UUCAACAUCUCUUUUCCUUUGUUGUGUGAUUACACAGAAAGUUGCUGCACAAUGCCCUUCCCCUUGUGGGCCAACAUUCUAAGGCAGGGAUCAUUUAGAAACAAGAUGGUGAAGGUAAAACUCACCAUUUUAGGAGAGAUCUUAGAGGGCAUCCAGUCUACCCACCUCUUCUUCUGGAGAAAAUUGAGAUUCAGAGAGAUUAAGUGCUUCUCCCAAGAUCACCCAAUUACUUACAGACCCACCCAGGGAUCAUAAUUAACUGAUCAUCACCAAUCAUGCUGACUUUUGUCUUGAUACUGGACUUCAAUGAUUCUGGAAGAAAAAGUGAAGCUGACAACUUUGUGCAACUUUAUCUCACUUAAAUCCAAUUUAUGUGCAAAUCAGGAGAUCACUCAUGAUGUCAUUGAUCCUCUUCAAAAACAAAGGAUGAACAACAACAUACAUCACAAGCUUACAUAAGCAAGUGUUUAAUAAUAGAACAAAAGUCUACAUGACCUGAAAGUCUAUUUGCACAUCCAGUCCAACUAUAUGAAGAUCUCUAGUUUUUCCAAGAGGUAGUGUUUGCUUUGUUUAUAUAGAUUUUUUUCUAUUUUAAAUAGAAAGUUGAGCUUUUUGCUUUUCAUUUUCUUUAUGAUAGAUCAUCAUUAUUAAAUAAACAAAAAAACUUUGAGUCUA
This is a long non-coding RNA of Antechinus flavipes (yellow-footed antechinus), 675 nucleotides long. RefSeq lists it as uncharacterized. Lineage: Eukaryota; Metazoa; Chordata; Mammalia; Dasyuromorphia; Dasyuridae. The record is from RefSeq and is a predicted model, not a curated record. The transcript has 4 exons.